GACGAACGCUGGCGGCGUGCUUAACACAUGCAAGUCGAACGGAAAGGCCCUGCUUUUGUGGGGUGCUCGAGUGGCGAACGGGUGAGUAACACGUGAGUAACCUGCCCUUGACUUUGGGAUAACUUCAGGAAACUGGGGCUAAUACCGGAUAGGAGCUCCUGCUGCAUGGUGGGGGUUGGAAAGUUUCGGCGGUUGGGGAUGGACUCGCGGCUUAUCAGCUUGUUGGUGGGGUAGUGGCUUACCAAGGCUUUGACGGGUAGCCGGCCUGGGAGGGUGACCGGCCACAUUGGGACUGAGGUACGGCCCAGACUCCUACGGGAGGCAGCAGUGGGGAAUAUUGCACAGUGGGCGGGAGCCUGAUGCAGCAACGCCGCGUGCGGGAUGACGGCCUUCGGGUUGUAAACCGCUUUCGCCUGUGACGAAGCGUGAGUGACGGUAAUGGGUAAAGAAGCACCGGCUAACUACGUG
RNAcentral lists this ribosomal RNA (468 nucleotides) under uncultured bacterium. RNAcentral's name for it is "partial 16S ribosomal RNA". It matches the Rfam family "Bacterial small subunit ribosomal RNA", at positions 28 to 507 of the family's 1533-position model. The record is from RNAcentral.